This 2244-nucleotide ribosomal RNA is filed under the name Triticum aestivum (bread wheat). Its description in RNAcentral is "partial small subunit ribosomal RNA". Lineage: Eukaryota; Viridiplantae; Streptophyta; Magnoliopsida; Poales; Poaceae. The record is from RNAcentral.
AUGGUUCGUCCCCUCUUCGCCCGGCGGCGGCCGCCGCCGGAGCACGCCGGCAUAUAUCCUAACUGGGUCCUCCUCGACACCGUAGUGCGCGGGGCAAACUACGACUGGGAGAAAAUGUCAAUGGCUGAGUGUUCUGCUUCCUUGGCUACCACAGCCAGAACAUUCGUGGAUGUCAGAAGUGAGGCGGAGUCGAAGGAAGAAGUGGUGGUGGAGUUGGAGGUUUCCUUCUUAUUCGUCAGCCCACCGGAUGUAUCUGGCUUCGUCGUCCAUGUUGGGGAUUACGGGUUGUCGUAUGGUGCCUCCGUCGUUAGCACCGAUGGCAACGCUGUUCUGCUAGCCAUUACCAUGGCAAUGUUCAACUUGCAGCGCUAUCUCGUCUACAGGGUUGACCGAGGGAAUCCGUCACUUGAGGUGCUUCCAGACCGACCUAUGCUGAAAUUCCAUCCAACCAAAGUGGUUGGCAUCCUCAGCCAUGGCAAGGGAUACGUUGUGGCUGCCUUGACGCGCAAGCUCAAAAUUGACUAUCUUGCUUAUGAGCUCUUUCUCUACACAUCCCAGACCAAGGCAUGGAGCAGCAAGGUGAUACCACUUGAGUGUACCAGGGACGCUGACCUGAUUCACGUCCUUAACCACCAUACCACCAAGGUAAUCACAGUUGGAGUGGAUUCAUUGGGGUGGGUUGACCUUUGGCGUGGUAUACUUUUCUGCAAUGUGCUUGAUGAGAAUCCAGUGGUCCGCUUCUUGAGCUUUCCUUGCCCCAUGCCGUCUAAUGCAUGUAACUUGGGAACAUCAUGUCCUAGGCCGUUUAGGGAUGUGAUCUGCAUUGGCAACACAUUGAAGUUUGUUGAGGUGGAGUAUAACCAAGGUGAAGAUGAUACUGACUAUGGUUCGAAUACUGACCAUGGUUGGAAGGCGACAACUCAGAAGAGGAAUCUCGGGUCAGAGUGGACUGAAUGCUUUAGUGUAGAUACUAGUGACAUCCUUUUAACCGAUGAAAGUUGGGAUUUGUUGUCACACAGGCUGCGGGAUGAUGAUGCACGCCAACUUUCCCUGAGUAAGUUGGAGUGUUUAGCUCCUACCCUUGGCAUGGAUGAUGACUAUCUUUACAUGAUGACCCGGCCACUUGGAAGCAAUGAGAAGCCAUUGGGUCUGUUUGCUUCUCUUGACAUUAAAAAUAAGGACAUGAGGCUUGUGUCUUUUUCUACGGAAAGGAUGUCAUAUAUUGAUCCCAACUACCGGCCAUGUACUGUUUCACAUUACUUCAACAACACCUCUGGGAAGCCUCUCAAAAGUAAGAACGAGAAAGCUGCACCGAGGUUUAUUAUUGGUGAAAAUCUCAGGUGGAUUGGUUUGGUUAAAUUAGCAGUGCUCAGCAACAUCCUUGUUUCCAUUCAAAGGCUCACGUCAUUAGAUGCAAUGCUGAUGAAACCAGAAAGGCCGGAUGAAACACAGCUAGAUCAAACACGGCUAACGAAUUGCUCUGCCUCUGUUGAAAUGCUUGGCCAGAAAGAAGAUGCAAUGUUUGACGUCCCUGAAGAUGGUCACGUUGAAGGAACCACCGCCGCUUAUCCAUUUGCGUUCUCCACCGCCGGGCACGCAUCGCGGCUUGCCGCCGGCGUCCACGCCGCAGGAGCCAAGGAAGGGGUGAUGCGUCGCGGCGGGCGUCCGCGCCGCCCGAGCCCAGGAAUGGGGCGAGCCGUCAUGGCGCUCAAGAUGGGCGCGCUGCUCGGGCAGCACAGCGACAGCAGGGCCCUCCUCGCGGACCACGCACCAGCGGUGACGCUCUUCGGGCACCGCCGUGGCCGGCUGAGCCUGGCCACCCACGAGUGCACGCGGGCGCCGCCGGCGUUCCUCAUCGAGCUGCCCAUGUUAGCGGCCGCGCUGCACAGUGGAGGCGGCGGCGGAGGGGACGGAGAUGACGGGGACAUAUCGGACUACACGCCGGAGGACGAGGGCAUCGCACCACCUACUGUUGUGUCCCGAUUACAAGAUGUGCUCCAGUGCCCCGCCUACGGGCGACUCUCCAACGACGGUUCGUCCCUUCCUCAUGACCUCAUGGAGCUAUCUCUUAUUAGAUCUAAUUGUAUCCCUGCUUGUGGUGAUUGGGUUGGGGUAGAUGAGUCGACAACGAAGCUCAAGGACGUGAUAUGGCGCUCAGUGCAAGUGGCCAUGGUGGACCUGAAGCUGGCUGAGAUAAGCGAUGGGGUCAGUGUUAUGCUCCUCCCAUUCUCAUUAACCAAAUAA